Gossypium arboreum is the source of this 463-nucleotide long non-coding RNA. RefSeq lists it as uncharacterized. Lineage: Eukaryota; Viridiplantae; Streptophyta; Magnoliopsida; Malvales; Malvaceae. The transcript has 3 exons. The record is from RefSeq and is a predicted model, not a curated record.
UAAAAGAAAAGGAAAUGAAAACGAAAACAGAGAAGAAACAGGGGAGAAAGAAGAAAGAAAAGGGGAAAUAGGGUUUAUGAAGCUUGGAGUUAAUUGCCAACAAAGAACCUGAAGCAUCAGCAUCGAAAGGAAAGGAGAAAGUCAUCGAGGACUAAAAUGGGAGAAUUACGCGUACGGUUGUCUCCGUGCGCAGGUUAGUAGAAGUCAAGUAUUCCGGCUCAGCAUCCAGAACAAUCCCGACUCCAACACAAAUUUGGUGAUGUAUAUUUUUCUUUUGGGUAAAGGUGGCAUGUACAUAGGUGUUGUUUAGUCACUUGAAUAUGUAUAUUACUUUGGGUAGUGAAUGAUGAAUUAUAAAAUUUAGAUGGUUAAAUGAAAUGGAAAGAAAAGUACAUGAUAUUUUGACACAUGAACAUUAAGUUGUUAAAUGAAUGAAGUUUUUAAUCAAUUUUGAAUGAUGCUA